This 553-nucleotide ribosomal RNA is filed under the name Leuroglossus stilbius (California smoothtongue). Its description in RNAcentral is "Bathylagus stilbius (California smoothtongue) partial 16S ribosomal RNA". It matches the Rfam family "Bacterial large subunit ribosomal RNA", at positions 1856 to 2606 of the family's 2925-position model. The record is from RNAcentral. Lineage: Eukaryota; Metazoa; Chordata; Actinopteri; Argentiniformes; Bathylagidae.
CGCCUGCCCUGUGACUAUAAGUUUAACGGCCGCGGUAUUUUGACCGUGCGAAGGUAGCGUAAUCACUUGUCUUUUAAAUGAAGACCCGUAUGAAUGGCACGACGAGGGCUUAACUGUCUCCUUCUCUUCGUCAAUGAAAUUGAUCUCCCCGUGCAGAAGCGGGGAUAUAAACAUAAGACGAGAAGACCCUAUGGAGCUUUAGACAAAAGGCAGAUUACGUUAAAACCCCUAAACUACCAGGGCUAAACACAGUACUCCCUCGCCAACAUGUCUUCGGUUGGGGCGACCGCGGGGGAAAACCAAGCCCCCAUGUGGACUGGAAAAACCUUUUCCACAGCCAAGAGUAACAACUCUAAGCAACAGAAUUUCUGACCAAAACGAUCCGGCAAACGCCGAUCAACGGACCAAGUUACCCUAGGGAUAACAGCGCAAUCCCCUCCCAGAGUCCCUAUCGACAAGGGGGUUUACGACCUCGAUGUUGGAUCAGGACAUCCUAAUGGUGCAACCGCUAUUAAGGGUUCGUUUGUUCAACGAUUAAAGUCCUACGUGAUCU